This 448-nucleotide ribosomal RNA is filed under the name uncultured bacterium. Its description in RNAcentral is "bacterial SSU rRNA". It matches the Rfam family "Bacterial small subunit ribosomal RNA", at positions 64 to 507 of the family's 1533-position model. The record is from RNAcentral.
GAGCGGUAGAGAGAAGCUUGCUUCUCUUGAGAGCGGCGGACGGGUGAGUAAUGCCUAGGAAUCUGCCUGGUAGUGGGGGAUAACGUCCGGAAACGGACGCUAAUACCGCAUACGUCCUACGGGAGAAAGCAGGGGACCUUCGGGCCUUGCGCUAUCAGAUGAGCCUAGGUCGGAUUAGCUAGUUGGUGAGGUAAUGACUCACCAAGGCGACGAUCCGUAACUGGUCUGAGAGGAUGAUCAGUCACACUGGAACUGAGACACGGUCCAGACUCCUACGGGAGGCAGCAGUGGGGAAUAUUGGACAAUGGGCGAAAGCCUGAUCCAGCCAUGCCGCGUGUGUGAAGAAGGUCUUCGGAUUGUAAAGCACUUUAAGUUGGGAGGAAGGGCAGUAAGCGAAUACCUUGCUGUUUUGACGUUACCGACAGAAUAAGCACCGGCUAACUCUGUG